AAAGCUCAGGUAUGACAGAUUUCUGGCUCUCACUCAGUCACUCUAGCCCAUCAACAUUUGAUUUAUUUUGGCUACCCAAUUGAGAGAAUUUAUGGGUUUUGGCAUAUAUGUCUGCAUGAAGUCAUUAACCACGUUUACAAAGAUAUUCAUGGAGUUUUUCUAUACAAUUCUCUUCUUUCAAAAUUUCUGUAAAAUUCUGUGUCUUUCGGUGACUCUGAUUGUUAGGCGUACUUGGAAUGUGGUGAGGAGAGCUCAGUCAAUUGGAAGGAAGGUUGCUGGAAUUUGGAAAAAAUGGGUUCAAAUACUCUGCAACAGUUGCUGGGAAUCCAGACUCUGCCAGGACUUCCAUCCACUUGUCAAACCCAAACAUUUGUAAAACUGUUGAAUGUCCUUCACCACAGCCUCUCUAUUGGCCAACUCUGCCACCUGAUUGUAAAUUCUAAGAAUACUAACAAAGAGAAAUCUCAAAGCUAGAAGAUGCUAUGUAAUAGCCAAUAGGGAACAUCCUGAAAGCUGGAAUAUAUAUUUUUGCCAUUUAGUUGAUAUGUGCCAUUCUCAUGAUCCCUAUUUCCAUUUCUGAUUUUUACUCUCAUUUUUUUUUUAAAUCAAUUUAUUAAAUACAAAGACAUUCACAUUUUAUUGAGGGAAGGCUGUCAUUUCAGCCAUCCCAAUAGUUUGAAGUUAGAGAACGGAUGGUAUUUCAAGGAGGCUUUCCUGGAGCUUCUAGAUCAAUAAUAGAUUUUUUUGCUUAAAAGGUAUGCCUACUGACUAUUGUAAUUCUCGUGUGAAAUGUCGAUGAAUGUUUAUUUCCAUCACUUUGGUGGAUUACUACUGCAAUAUACUUUUUCAUAGGCUUUUAUCACGUGUUGAAACUGCCUUGAGAGAUACAAAUCUUUCCUUCAAAGAUAUAGAUGAAGUAAUCUCAUUGCUGGUUCAAUUAGCAUCCCAUCUGUCUAGGAGCAAAUAAGGAAAUAACUGGAAAAGAGCCCAAUGUGACUGUAAAUCCUUUUGAAGUUGUUGCUCUUGGGGCUAUAGUUCAGGUUUGUCUUAUUCCUCUUUAUUUAUGGAAGAAAAAUUAAAGCUCUCUAUUUCUGAUAUUAUCUAUUGUAGUACUUAUUAGAAUUUGCACUAAUUAUUGUGACAGUUGAGGCAUCAAUAAUUAUUUUUGUGGCUUUCAUUCCUGGCCCUGGAAUGACAUUGUGCUCUUGGAUGUCACUUAUUACUUUCAAUGUAGAGCUCUCUAUUUCUGAUAUUGUCCACUGUAGUACUUAGAACUUGCAUUAAUUGUUGAGAUAGUUGAGGCAUCAAUAUUUACUUUUGUGACUUUCAUUUUAGUACUUGAAACUUCAGUUGGUGUGAUGACAGAUUAUCUGAAGGAACCCAACCUUACCAAUUUCCAAAUCAGGGUUGUUUUCUUUUCAACUGCAGUAGAUGAAUAUAAACAAGUAUCAAGGUGAGAGAGUUUGUGAGGGACAACAAAUCUCUUGAAAGCUUUCGCUUAGAUGGCAUCCCACAUGUGCCACAUGGAGUUCCUCAAAUUGUGGUGAAAUUUGGUAUUGUUGCUGAUGGUAUUCUUUCGGUCACUGCAGUUGACAAGGGAAUUGGAAAGUAGGAUACUGCCAUAACUGGUGCUAGCACCUUGCCAAGUGAUAAAGAUGGUUAAAGAAGCUGAAAAUUUUUUAAAGGAAGACAUGGAAAAGAGGGAUGCCCUAGAUACAAAGAACCAAGCUGAAUCAGUUUUGCACCAAAUUGAGAAGGAACUUAAAGAGCUGGGAGACAAAAGUUUCUGGCUCAAUCAAGGAGAAAGAAGAGGCUGAAGUGAAAGAGCACAAGGAUGCCAUCUUUGGUGGAUCAUCCCAAGCCAUUAAAGAUGCAACGGCUGACCUGAAGCUAGAGCCGGCUCAACAACUUUUGGGGCCUUAGGCGAAAAUUUUAAAUGGAGCCUUUUUAUAAUUAAAUAUUAAUCAAAUAAUAUACUAGCCAUCUUCUAUUAAAUUUCUCCCCAUUUGAUAACUUUUUAAAAUAAAAUGUAGUAGAAAAAUGUCUACGAUCUUUAUCUAUAGGAAAAUUUAGAUCAUUGUCUCUAAUUGGACCCUUUUCUACUAAUAAAUCUCUUAAUUUUGUAUCAAUAUUUUCCCAUUGACUUGGAUCAUAG
This is a long non-coding RNA of Quercus robur (English oak), 2155 nucleotides long. RefSeq lists it as uncharacterized. The record is from RefSeq and is a predicted model, not a curated record. The transcript has 3 exons. Lineage: Eukaryota; Viridiplantae; Streptophyta; Magnoliopsida; Fagales; Fagaceae.